UCAGGACGAACGCUGGCGGCGUGCUUAACACAUGCAAGUCGAACGGGGCGAUUUAAAGCUUGCUUUGAUGAGCCUAGUGGCAAACGGGUGAGUAACGCGUAGGCAACCUGCCCUCAGGAUGGGGACAACGGCCCGAAAGGACCGCUAAUACCGAAUGACGUAUCGGGAUCGCAUGAUACUGAUACCAAAGGCGGAGCAAUCCGUCACCUGAGGAUGGGCCUGCGUCUGAUUAGGUAGUUGGUGAGGUAACGGCCCACCAAGCCGACGAUCAGUAGCCGGUCUGAGAGGAUGAACGGCCACAUUGGGGACUGAGACACGGCCCAGACUCCUACGGGAGGCAGCAGUGGGGAAUCUUCCGCAAUGGGCGAAAGCCUGACGGAGCAACGCCGCGUGAAGUGAAGAAGGUCUUCGGAUCGUAAAGCUCUGUCGAAGGGGACGAACGUGGGUUCUAUCAACAACGGAACCUAAUGACGGUACCUUUCAAGAAAGCCACGGCUAACUACGUGCCAGCAGCCGC
RNAcentral lists this ribosomal RNA (517 nucleotides) under uncultured bacterium. RNAcentral describes it as "bacterial SSU rRNA". It matches the Rfam family "Bacterial small subunit ribosomal RNA", at positions 24 to 518 of the family's 1533-position model. The record is from RNAcentral.